This 638-nucleotide ribosomal RNA is filed under the name uncultured marine bacterium. Its description in RNAcentral is "bacterial SSU rRNA". It matches the Rfam family "Bacterial small subunit ribosomal RNA", at positions 8 to 627 of the family's 1533-position model. The record is from RNAcentral.
AGAGUUUGAUCAUGGCUCAGGACGAACACUGGCGGCGUGCCUAAUACAUGCAAGUCGAGCGAACUGAUUAGAAGCUUGCUUCUAUGACGUUAGCGGCGGACGGGUGAGUAACACGUGGGCAACCUGCCUGUAAGACUGGGAUAACUUCGGGAAACCGAAGCUAAUACCGGAUAGGAUCUUCUCCUUCAUGGGAGAUGAUUGAAAGAUGGUUUCGGCUAUCACUUACAGAUGGGCCCGCGGUGCAUUAGCUAGUUGGUGAGGUAACGGCUCACCAAGGCAACGAUGCAUACCCGACCUGAGAGGGUGAUCGGCCACACUGGGACUGAGACACGGCCCAGACUCCUACGGGAGGCAGCAGUAUGGAAUCUUCCGCAAUGGACGAAAGUCUGACGGAGCAACGCCGCGUGAGUGAUGAAGGCUUUCGGGUCGUAAAACUCUGUUGUUAGGGAAGAACAAGUACGAGAGUAACUGCUCGCACCUUGACGGUACCUAACCAGAAAGCCACGGCUAACUACGUGCCAGCAGCCGCGGUAAUACGUAGGUGGCAAGCGUUAUCCGGAAUUAUUGGGCGUAAAGCGCGCGCAGGCGGUUUCUUAAGUCUGAUGUGAAAGCCCACGGCUCAACCGUGGAGGGUCAUU